Long non-coding RNA from Planococcus citri (citrus mealybug), 960 nucleotides. RefSeq lists it as uncharacterized. Lineage: Eukaryota; Metazoa; Arthropoda; Insecta; Hemiptera; Pseudococcidae. The transcript has 4 exons. The record is from RefSeq and is a predicted model, not a curated record.
UUAGCCGAACUCCGCAAGGGAAAUGUUUUCCAAAAUAAGUAAAUACAAUAGAACAAUGCAUUUAAGAAUUACAGAUGAAGUUUUCAAAAAAUUCCCCGACUUUUCCAGGUUUUUCAGGUUUUCUAGAAGUACGUGAAUACCCUGGACCUAAUAUCAAAUAAAUUAGAAAAAAGAUGAGGAGGACAACAAAAAACUCAAAGCAUGGGUGUCUGAAGGGCUCAGAUGGAUAAAUUAAACAGUUGUAUCGACGGAACAACAACAUGAUCAAGGAAUACCUAUGUUGAAACAGUUGAAGCGAUUUCAUAACUUCACUGAUUCAUACCUUAGAAUCGUGGCCUACUCGUGAAUCACAUGUGUGAAGGACACAGAUGGAUAAAUUACAUGCCGUAUCAAUCAAUAGUGACAUUAAAACAUUGUAGAAAUCUAAAAUUGUUUCUUGCAGUUGCGUCAAGUGAAACAAGCGAAGCGAUGUGAUGAGUUAUUACUUCAGUAAAUUCACGUACGAAAAUAAUACGAACACCUGCAAACUUCGUGUUGAUUUGAUUUCGCUCUGCAAAAUCAGGUUUCAAUACGAGCAUAAAAUACAAAGAAUUCUGGCAGGAGUAUUCAGAUUAUACCCACCAUAUUGUGACUUCUAGACUAUCGGGCACUUCAACGCUAUGUCUCCUUAUUUCUCGAAGAAUUUUAAAUGUAUCAUCCUCGUGAGCUUGUUAAUUUUUGUGAUCAUUCAAGAAGUUGUGGGUCCAGAGGAAACUGGCUGGGUUGUAUUAUCUGAUGGUAAAGGCGGAGCAAUGCAGUAUGAACGAAAAUGACCACGAUAGGUACGGUAAAUUAUACUUUUCUUACUCAAGAAGAUCCUCCUCUUACCACUAGUACCACGAGCCUAUCGAUGUAAAUAUUAGAAAUUAUUGUUAAUCUAUUAUUUUAAUAUUUAUGUAUUGUCAAUAAGCCACAAAUAAA